UACGUAGGGUGCAAGCGUUGUCCGGAAUUAUUGGGCGUAAAGAGCUCGUAGGCGGUCUGUCGCGUCUGCUGUGAAAUCUCAGGGCUUAACCCUGAGCUUGCAGUGGGUACGGGCAGACUAGAGGCAGGUAGGGGGAGAAUGGAAUUCCCGGUGUAGCGGUGAAAUGCGCAGAUAUCGGGAGGAACACCGGUGGCGAAGGCGGUUCUCUGGGCCUGACCUGACGCUGAGGAGCGAAAGCGUGGGGGAGCGAACAGG
This 255-nucleotide ribosomal RNA is filed under the name uncultured bacterium. Its description in RNAcentral is "partial 16S ribosomal RNA". It matches the Rfam family "Bacterial small subunit ribosomal RNA", at positions 524 to 776 of the family's 1533-position model. The record is from RNAcentral.